UUCUGCCAAGAGUACCAGAACAAUGCGUUUGGACUUUACAUGGCAGGCAGAACAAUGAUGCUUUGUCCAACCUACUUUCUAUGAAAAAAAAAUACAUCUCCAUCUAAAAUUAUAAGCCAGUGACACCGAAAGAAGGUCUCAUUCUGCGGACUUCAGCUAUCCCUGAUUACUUCCCAAAGCCCUCACUCCAAUUACCAUGGUUUUGAAGGCUGAGCUUCCAAUAAACAAACACUGGAUGGACAUCCAGACCACA
This is a long non-coding RNA of Mastomys coucha (southern multimammate mouse), 253 nucleotides long. RefSeq lists it as uncharacterized. The transcript has 2 exons. NCBI's taxonomy places the organism in Eukaryota, Metazoa, Chordata, Mammalia, Rodentia, Muridae. The record is from RefSeq and is a predicted model, not a curated record.